AUGAACGCUGGCGGCGUGCCUAAUACACGCAAGUCGAGCGAACAGACGAGGAGCUUGCUCCUCUGACGUUAGCGGCGGACGGGUGAGUAACACGUGGAUAACCUACCUAUAAGACUGGGAUAACUUCGGGAAACCGGAGCUAAUACCGGAUAAUAUAUUGAACCGCAUGGUUCAAUAGUGAAAGACGGUUUUGCUGUCACUUAUAGAUGGAUCCGCGCCGCAUUAGCUAGUUGGUAAGGUAACGGCUUACCAAGGCAACGAUGCGUAGCCGACCUGAGAGGGUGAUCGGCCACACUGGAACUGAGACACGGUCCAGACUCCUACAGGAGGCAGCAGUAGGGAAUCUUCCGCGAUGGGCGAAAGCCUGACGGAGCAACGCCGCGUGAGUGAUGAAGGUCUUCGGAUCGUAAAACUCUGUUAUUAGGGAAGAACAAAUGUGUAAGUAACUAUGCACGUCUUGACGGUACCUAAUCAGAAAGCCACGGCUAACUACGUG
This 496-nucleotide ribosomal RNA is filed under the name uncultured bacterium. RNAcentral describes it as "partial 16S ribosomal RNA". It matches the Rfam family "Bacterial small subunit ribosomal RNA", at positions 29 to 507 of the family's 1533-position model. The record is from RNAcentral.